UGGGGAAUAUUGGACAAUGGGCGAAAGCCUGAUCCAGCCAUGCCGCGUGUGUGAAGAAGGUCUUCGGAUUGUAAAGCACUUUAAGUUGGGAGGAAGGGCAGUAAGCGAGUACCUUGCUGUUUUGACGUUACCGACAGAAUAAGCACCGGCUAACUCUGUGCCAGCAGCCGCGGUAAUACAGAGGGUGCAAGCGUUAAUCGGAAUUACUGGGCGUAAAGCGCGCGUAGGUGGUUCGUUAAGUUGAAUGUGAAAGCCCCGGGCUCAACCUGGGAACUGCAUCCACAACUGGCGAGCUAGAGUAGGGCAGAGGGUGGUGGAAUUUCCUGUGUAGCGGUGAAAUGCGUAGAUAUAGGAAGGAACACCAGUGGCGAAGGCGACCACCUGGGCUCAUACUGACACUGAGGUGCGAAAGCGUGGGGAGCAAACAGG
This 429-nucleotide ribosomal RNA is filed under the name Pseudomonadota bacterium. RNAcentral describes it as "Proteobacteria bacterium partial 16S ribosomal RNA". It matches the Rfam family "Bacterial small subunit ribosomal RNA", at positions 355 to 776 of the family's 1533-position model. The record is from RNAcentral. Lineage: Bacteria; Pseudomonadati; Pseudomonadota.